Eurytemora carolleeae is the source of this 1402-nucleotide long non-coding RNA. RefSeq lists it as uncharacterized. Lineage: Eukaryota; Metazoa; Arthropoda; Copepoda; Calanoida; Temoridae. The record is from RefSeq and is a predicted model, not a curated record. The transcript has 5 exons.
UCCAAAGUGUUUUCUAGGACAGACAUAGAAAAUAUUCUUUAUAUUCUAUAUUUUUAUUCAACUACAAAGCACGAGAUAAUACAAAUAUCUACUAUGUAGUUAGGAUUCGUCUAACCAGAGUUGGUUGUUUUGAAUUGGUUGGCCCAUACAUACAGCUUCUAUUCCGCCCUUUAGUCUACAGUUCUUUCUUUUAGAAUGUUUCCCUCUCAUAUUUUUUUUUAUUUGCAAUAUCUUUGUCCCCAUUUCUCAUUAAUCAUAUAUUACAUAUUUAGAACACAACAAUCGAUAAAAUGUUGAAUUCUGAAACCGGAGAUUGGCCUGUUCUUGGGGGUAGGGGUUAAAAGAAGCAGAAGUUGGAAAGAUUCGAAAGGGCAGACGUCGGUAUUGGUGGAAUUGUCAAAGGGAGUAAAAAAUGGAAAAAUAUUUUAACUUUUGACUUGAAAGGAAAAAUGCUGAGAAAGGAGGAAGGGGGAGGUGGAGAAAAUGUUGAAGACUAUGGUGACCAUGGAGUAUAUGGUGGAGCUAGUGACGAUUGCCAGGAUUCAACCUCACAGAAAAGCAGAGUUUAAAAGUUUGAUGCAAACCAGAAAUAUAUUUUGAAUGAGGAAAGGAAAAAACUGAGAAAAGAGUCUUCGGUUUUUGAAUGAGAAAGGGGAAAUUCUGAGAAAGGUGGAAGGGCGAGGUGGAGACUGUGGUGACCAUGGAGAAGAUGGAGACGAUUGUUAGGGCACAACCUCUAUGAUAAACAGGAGAGAAUCCUUCGAUUUGAAACAGAAAAACUGAAGCUGGAGAGAGUUCAGCAAUACAUAAUGAAGAAAACCUAUCUUAAAGAGUACUCGGAAGUUGAGAGGAGAACAUUAAGAAAGCAGGCGAAGAGUUUUUAUGUAGACACAGAUGAUGUCCUCCAUUUUAAAGACAAAUCUUUAAAACGGAAAGUUAUUUUCACCCUGAGCGAGGCAAAAGAUGUUCUUUGGCUUUAUCAUUCAAAUUCGAUGGCAAGAGGACAUUCUGGCUUAAAUAAUACUAGAAUUAAAAUUUCUACCUUCUAUUACUGGAAGGGGAUUUCAAUGGACGUCACUGAGUAUGUUUAAUUAAUCGUUAAUGAAUUGUGCAACUGCAAUCACCUCCUCCCCCCUCUGUCUUCGGACUCAAAAAUUAAUUUGUUUAACAUUUUUUUAUUUGAUUAUCUAAUAAAACCCUUUAUGCAAGAUAUAUGGUGUAUUUUUCGACAUACGCAAAUCCGCUAUACUCCACUUCUGACCUACGCCAAAUCUGCUAAACUACACAUCCGACCUACUAGCACAUGGUUUUACAGCUGCCAUAUAAAUUUGUGGCCGCAGCGCUCUGCCUCUAGCAUGUCCUAGCCGCGGCGUUCGGCCCCCUAGCCUGUCCUAGCUGCAGC